This 844-nucleotide ribosomal RNA is filed under the name Staphylococcus aureus M13403. Its description in RNAcentral is "bacterial SSU rRNA". It matches the Rfam family "Bacterial small subunit ribosomal RNA", at positions 8 to 834 of the family's 1533-position model. The record is from RNAcentral. RNAcentral also lists the same sequence under 2 other names. Lineage: Bacteria; Bacillati; Bacillota; Bacilli; Caryophanales; Staphylococcaceae.
AGAGUUUGAUCCUGGCUCAGGAUGAACGCUGGCGGCGUGCCUAAUACAUGCAAGUCGAGCGAACGGACGAGAAGCUUGCUUCUCUGAUGUUAGCGGCGGACGGGUGAGUAACACGUGGAUAACCUACCUAUAAGACUGGGAUAACUUCGGGAAACCGGAGCUAAUACCGGAUGAUAUUUUGAACCGCAUGGUUCAAAAGUGAAAGACGGUCUUGCUGUCACUUAUAGAUGGAUCCGCGCUGCAUUAGCUAGUUGGUAAGGUAACGGCUUACCAAGGCAACGAUGCAUAGCCGACCUGAGAGGGUGAUCGGCCACACUGGAACUGAGACACGGUCCAGACUCCUACGGGAGGCAGCAGUAGGGAAUCUUCCGCAAUGGGCGAAAGCCUGACGGAGCAACGCCGCGUGAGUGAUGAAGGUCUUCGGAUCGUAAAACUCUGUUAUUAGGGAAGAACAUAUGUGUAAGUAACUGUGCACAUCUUGACGGUACCUAAUCAGAAAGCCACGGCUAACUACGUGCCAGCAGCCGCGGUAAUACGUAGGUGGCAAGCGUUAUCCGGAAUUAUUGGGCGUAAAGCGCGCGUAGGCGGUUUUUUAAGUCUGAUGUGAAAGCCCACGGCUCAACCGUGGAGGGUCAUUGGAAACUGGAAAACUUGAGUGCAGAAGAGGAAAGUGGAAUUCCAUGUGUAGCGGUGAAAUGCGCAGAGAUAUGGAGGAACACCAGUGGCGAAGGCGACUUUCUGGUCUGUAACUGACGCUGAUGUGCGAAAGCGUGGGGAUCAAACAGGAUUAGAUACCCUGGUAGUCCACGCCGUAAACGAUGAGUGCUAAGUGUUAGGGGGUUUC